Molecule: ribosomal RNA, 253 nt
Filed under: uncultured bacterium
Lineage: Bacteria
Description: partial 16S ribosomal RNA
Rfam family: Bacterial small subunit ribosomal RNA
Source: RNAcentral
UACGGAGGGUGCAAGCGUUGUUCGGAUUUACUGGGCGUGAAGCGCGCGCAGGUGGGUGUACAAGUCGGAAGUGAAAUCUUGAGGCUCAACCUCGAGGCUGCUCCCGAAACUGUACGCCUAGGGACUGGUAGAGGCUGGUAGAAUUCCCGGUGUAGCGGUGGAAUGCGUAGAGAUCGGGAAGAAUACCUGUGGCGAAGGCGGCCAGCUGGGCCAGAUCCGACACUGAGGCGCGAAAGCGUGGGGAGCAAACAGG